This 44-nucleotide small RNA is filed under the name Arabidopsis thaliana (thale cress). RNAcentral describes it as "ATSL093280". The record is from RNAcentral. Lineage: Eukaryota; Viridiplantae; Streptophyta; Magnoliopsida; Brassicales; Brassicaceae.
AUUCGUUUAUUUAUUAAUGCCGACCACUUGAAUGAAUUUCUAUA